RNAcentral lists this ribosomal RNA (484 nucleotides) under uncultured bacterium. RNAcentral describes it as "partial 16S ribosomal RNA". It matches the Rfam family "Bacterial small subunit ribosomal RNA", at positions 30 to 507 of the family's 1533-position model. The record is from RNAcentral.
AUUGAACGCUGGCGGCAGGCCUAACACAUGCAAGUCGAGCGGAUGAAGGGAGCUUGCUCCUGGAUUCAGCGGCGGACGGGUGAGUAAUGCCUAGGAAUCUGCCUGGUAGUGGGGGAUAACGUCCGGAAACGGGCGCUAAUACCGCAUACGUCCUGAGGGAGAAAGUGGGGGAUCUUCGGACCUCACGCUAUCAGAUGAGCCUAGGUCGGAUUAGCUAGUUGGUGGGGUAAAGGCCUACCAAGGCGACGAUCCGUAACUGGUCUGAGAGGAUGAUCAGCCACACUGGAGCUGAGACACGGUCCAGACUCCUACGGGAGGCAGCAGUGGGGAAUAUUGGGCAAUGGGCGAAAGCCUGAUCCAGCCAUGCCGCGUGUGUGAAGAAGGUCUUCGGAUUGUAAAGCACGUUAAGUUGGGAGGAAGGGCAGUAAGUUAAUACCUUGCUGUUUUGACGUUACCAACAGAAUAAGCACCGGCUAACUUCGUG